Molecule: non-coding RNA, 223 nt
Filed under: Methylobacillus flagellatus
Lineage: Bacteria; Pseudomonadati; Pseudomonadota; Betaproteobacteria; Nitrosomonadales; Methylophilaceae
Also listed under: 1 other name
Source: RNAcentral
AUAGUCCACACCAUCUACGGUGUCCGGCGAUUGUUCGAUCCAGCCGGAAACAGGGAAUGCGGUCAAGGGAAUAUCCUGUCAAGCCGCAGCUGCCCCCGCAACUGUGACCAGUGAGCGGCAAGCCAAAUAGAAGGUCACUGGGCCUGGAAGUUUGAGGCCCGGGAAGACAGGCUGUCCGCGUGGACCUGGGAGCCAGGAAACCUGCCGUAGAUCAUUUUCAUAA